This 253-nucleotide ribosomal RNA is filed under the name uncultured bacterium. Its description in RNAcentral is "partial 16S ribosomal RNA". It matches the Rfam family "Bacterial small subunit ribosomal RNA", at positions 524 to 776 of the family's 1533-position model. The record is from RNAcentral.
UACGUAGGGCGCAAGCGUUGUCCGGAAUUAUUGGGCGUAAAGAGUUCGUAGGCGGUCUGUCGCGUCCGCUGUGAAAGCCCAGGGCUCAACCCUGGGUCUGCAGUGGAUACGGGCAGACUAGAGUCAGGUAGGGGAGAUCGGGAUUCCUGGUGUAGCGGUGAAAUGCGCAGAUAUCAGGAGGAACACCGGUGGCGAAGGCGGAUCUCUGGGCCUUACCUGACGCUCAGGCACGAAAGCUAGGGGAGCGAACAGG